This is a long non-coding RNA of Dromaius novaehollandiae (emu), 2163 nucleotides long. The record is from Ensembl. NCBI's taxonomy places the organism in Eukaryota, Metazoa, Chordata, Aves, Casuariiformes, Dromaiidae.
CUCCUCUGCUUGUGUGUUCAGCUGUUCAUUUAUUUGGGUUCCUUUUGCUUUUCUUUUUAAAGAGAAGAAAGGGCGUAAAAGAGGCCCAACUGCACCUCCACCACUACUGCUUCAGGAUCCAGAGACAGCCCGCAAAAGGAUCGAAGAGCGAGUAGCCACGGUGCUUGUAGAAGACGUGGAAUUCCCUCCUACCCCUCAGCUUCCCACCAGUAGUAUUUUGGAGGAUGGAUCUGGGAAAGCAGCCUGGCUCAUGCCAUUGCCCAAAAACAAGGACUCAUCUUUAUGGAAUAGCAGUGCUCUAACAGGACCCCGUGACCCUGAAUUGUUCUACACUGCUGGAUUAAACCCUCCAGUUGUACCUGUGCAGAGUUCUAAGUCAGAGAUUGUUCUGCCAUCAGUGGGAUCUGAUCAGCCAGAAGUGUCCCAGGAAGUUGAUUCUGACCUCAGUUCGCGUGAUCCUGCCUCUGURGAGGUUGGAGGCCAAACUUCUGAUGAAUCCAAGUCAGGCCCUGAAGAAGAUGGACAGGUUUCAUUUGAGAGCCAGGAUGUUCAGACCCYGCAGGACCUGGUUGAGUUGGCCAGGGAAGGACUUACUCUUACUCAGGGGAACCUUGAUGUUAACCACGUUCAGGAAGCAGAGCAGUCAAGUGUCACAUGCAUUUCUGCCAGGAGGGAACCCACACAUGGCCAAUGGUGAGGCCAAAAGUUAUCCCAGCUAUUGGACUUUCCUUUGUAUUAUGUGCACAGCAGUGUGCAGCAAUGCUGCUCUUUUCUGCAUAUUGACUGUUGCUAACAGCACUGCCUCGUCAGGUCUUGAGAAGACCAGGUGAAAGAAGAGUGCAAGAGGGAUGACGUUAUGUUGGUACAUGGAUACACAAUCCCUGAAGUUGAUCUGUACAGGCUGAAAAAAUACACCACCUAGAAUUCCUCCAAGAGCAACUCUCUAACUUCCCCAGUCAUAGUUGCAUGCGGUGCACAACUGCACAUUCCAAGGUCAAGGAGAGCCUUAAAAUGGCCUAGCCGUUUAGCGUAAUAUAUGUAUUGUACAUCUCCUGUUCACCUGUUAACAAAGAACGUGGUUGCUAAAUUCUCCUGUCGGUCUGCAUUUUUACUUGGAUAAAGUUCCCUUACUUCCCCUACUAAACUGCAGCAAAUGGCUGCUGGUCCUAUGCCGAGGGGCCAAACACCUCUGAUAAAGGCAAGAGGGAGGGGCUGAGCCUUUCAGCUCAGAAAUAUCAGCGUGGUACAGCAGUCAUCUUGGGGAGCUGUCAUGGCAAGGCUCCUAUUAGGAGUUCCUACUUCGCUCURUCUUACAAGGACGUUGUACGUGAUUUGUGAUGUGCCUUUUCUUCUUUGAGGAGAAGAAACGACUUCCGGUGAUACUCCACUUAGUGGCUUUGUCCCUCCAUCCAAAGAGAAGAGAAUUCUGAGAAGCAGCUCUGAGAGAGUAAGGACAAACGUUAUUUUUUUCCACCUUUUUGUAUUUGUUUGCGUUUGUACUGUAAAAAAGAGGCUCAUCCAUUUGAGGGAUUCACAGAAGUAUGGAAUAUUUCCCAUUGCUUUCCUCAGAAGCAAAGAGGUGUUUAAGGUUCACAGUCAYKCACAGGAAUCAUUACAGGCACAGCUGAGGUCAAAAUGCUUGAUGUUUCAUUGAUGCCCACAGGCAGGCCUGUGGUUGUUUCAGAGUGUUUGUCCUCCUUGAGUUAAAAUACCAGGUAACAUAAAGCCAAUCUGUGCAUAAUUCAUGCAAAGAGAACCAGGUUAAAUAGUGAGGCUGUAGUCCUUAGAGUAUUUGGGGUAGUUACUAGGGAUGUAUCUGCACAGCWUUUAGGCAGUACUCUGCUUUGAUGUCCGGACUAGAUCAGAGCGAUCUAUCUGCCUAUCUGCCAAGAAUAAGAGCAAGAAACACCUGAUUAGUUUCCAGACUGAACUUCCUGUCUUCCCCCUGGAGAGCAGUCCACACCGCUGUCAUGACAUGCAGAGUCUUCUCUAGCCCACCUAUGAAGGCCUGGAAGAAAUGGUCCAGUGUGUGCUGCUGUUUCAGUGCUAAUUGGUAUUGGCUGCCUGCAAACACAUACUGGAAYGAGUAGAGAGGUUGAGUUUCCGCAAUCCACUGAACUAAUGUAGAAACCUGCUAAUAAAAUGAAGAGCUGCGUUGUUCCA